UUUCACGUUAUUUCUUAAAAAUAAAAAGGCCCAAGGCUUCAGGUGCGCAAAGGACAAAACGGAGAAAAGAGGAGGAGGAUAAGGAAACACAAUAUAAAGGUGAAAGAACAACAAGCACAAGAUACACUGCAGCCUGCAGACACCCCAUCAACUGGAACAUAUCCUGAAGUAUGUGAGUCCAUCAAGGCAGCACCUAUUGAUCCUUCUGACUGGCCAGUCGGCCUGUCUGAUAUGGUUUCUGAUGGAGUGAGUCUGAGCCAGCAGAAGGACAUGGCAGAAUGCUGCCUUUGGGACAUUACUCCACUGGAGGAAUCAUC
Molecule: long non-coding RNA, 317 nt
Organism: Micropterus dolomieu (smallmouth bass)
Lineage: Eukaryota; Metazoa; Chordata; Actinopteri; Centrarchiformes; Centrarchidae
Exons: 3
Source: RefSeq, a predicted model, not a curated record